Wasmannia auropunctata (little fire ant) is the source of this 430-nucleotide long non-coding RNA. RefSeq lists it as uncharacterized. The transcript has 3 exons. NCBI's taxonomy places the organism in Eukaryota, Metazoa, Arthropoda, Insecta, Hymenoptera, Formicidae. The record is from RefSeq and is a predicted model, not a curated record.
AUAUAUCGAUCGAUUGAUGUCAGUGAUUUCUGACACAAGAGGCGCUAAAGCGCUAGGAUUUCUAACCUUGCAGCCUCGCACGCAUCGAUCAAUGUAUAUAUCGAUCGAUUGAUGUCAGUGAUAUAGUAUACAAUACAACAGAUAAAACAGAUCAGUUGACAAGUGAGGUUAUCGUAACCGUGUGUCUUUUUCUCGGAUCUCGGAUUAACGUGUUCGGAGGAUCUUUUACUCGAGGAGAAUUACUCCGUCGCAUAUUCUAUUCUUAUAAUUUGUUUACUUAUCGAUGUUCCGGUUAGAGGGUUAAAAUCUUACCAAGAUGGAAAAUAUGGAGUUAGAUGCUUUGGAAAAGGAAUUUGUCACGUUGUCCGAGACGUUGCCGGAAAUGCAAGAAAUUGAGCCGGUUAGAGCCGCAUGAGCCGCACAGCCAUCG